This 222-nucleotide ribosomal RNA is filed under the name uncultured bacterium. RNAcentral describes it as "partial 16S ribosomal RNA". It matches the Rfam family "Bacterial small subunit ribosomal RNA", at positions 109 to 334 of the family's 1533-position model. The record is from RNAcentral.
AGGAACACAUCGGAAUCUACCCUGUCGUGGGGGAUAACGUAGGGAAACUUACGCUAAUACCGCAUACGACCCAUGGGUGAAAGCGGCGGACCGCAAGGCGUCGCGCGACUGGAUGAGCCGAUGUCCGAUUAGCUAGUUGGCGGGGUAAUGGCCCACCAAGGCGACGAUCGGUAGCUGGUCUGAGAGGAUGAUCAGCCACACUGGAACUGAGACACGGUCCAG